This 584-nucleotide long non-coding RNA is filed under the name Elaeis guineensis (African oil palm). RNAcentral describes it as "long non-coding RNA (EGUI_LNC040730)". Lineage: Eukaryota; Viridiplantae; Streptophyta; Magnoliopsida; Arecales; Arecaceae. The record is from RNAcentral.
AUCUCGGAUAACUCAUCUGCUCUUUUCUUUCCUUUAUCUUUCUCACUCAGAUCAGUAUCAGUUUUGAGUGCAGGUUCUUCUAUUGGGUUAGUCUCAAUACUAAUCUUUUCUUUCAAGUUCUCUUUUUGGUUAGCACUAGUACUAGCCUCACUCACUUGGUCUUGGUAUCAGUCUUUAAGAAUUCUAUCACUUUUAAGUUCAGAGAUUACUUUAUCAUUUUUAAAUUAGAGAUUUUUAGGUGGGACAUUGGAUUGUUAACUAAGUUCAGGUGGUUGGUGGGUGCGUGGGUUAUUUUCGAAAUUUAGUAUUAGUUGGCUUGGUAAUUGACCUAGUUCUCUCCUCAUGGAAGACUCAGCUAAUUGACCUAUUUGUGCUUCUAACCUAGUAAGGGAUUGCUGUUGGAUCAUUAUCAUUUGUUGAAGUUGGCUAAAUCUAUCAUCAGCUAGAAGGGUCUGUUAAGGAGAUAGGUAUGAUGGUUGAUUAUAAUAGGUGGCUGGAUAGGCUGACUAGACUGACCUCUAUUAUAGGCAUAAUUCUGAUAUUGAGACCUAUUUUGAAAAUUUUAUACAGAAAGAAUUUGGGUC